AGCCAUAAGAUGCAUCCAUAGGAGACCCUCUGCUGCAACUAAAAUCACUCAUUCUGGGGGCAGCCCUCUGGCAUGUAAUGAGCAGUCCUAUGGAGAAGCCCAUGUGACAGUAGCCAUGCAAGUGACACUGGAAGUGAAGUCUGCAACUCCAGUCAAGCCUUUAGAAGACUGCAGCCCUGGCUGACAGCUUCACAGCAAACUCGUGAGAGACCCUCAGCUUGAACAAUGCAGCUAACCUGUUCCUGGGUUCCUGGCCCUCAAGAACUGUAAGAGAUGAAAAAAAGGUUUGUUUUUUUAAGCUACCAA
This 306-nucleotide long non-coding RNA is filed under the name Pongo abelii (Sumatran orangutan). RNAcentral's name for it is "lincRNA". Lineage: Eukaryota; Metazoa; Chordata; Mammalia; Primates; Hominidae. The record is from RNAcentral.